This is a long non-coding RNA of Tupaia belangeri chinensis (Chinese tree shrew), 526 nucleotides long. RefSeq lists it as uncharacterized. NCBI's taxonomy places the organism in Eukaryota, Metazoa, Chordata, Mammalia, Scandentia, Tupaiidae. The record is from RefSeq and is a predicted model, not a curated record. The transcript is spliced from 3 exons.
ACGCACCUCUGCCACCUCAUCAUCAAGUGUAUUCAUCACCAGGCUGUGCGUGUGCUCACUAGAGAGAGCAAGAGAGAGAACGAGAGUGAACAAGUACCUCCCAGUGGGCAUGGUCACAUCGCAAUUCCAUCUCUGAUUCUCCUCCCAAUCAGGAUUUGGGGCACACACAUGCAUCUGGCGUGUUUUCUAAGCCACCAGGGCCAGGAUUAGAGCCAUGGUCAGCCACCUGGGAUCCACAUGGGAUCACUGUCUUCCCAUUUCGUGUACGUGGGGAACCCUUUAAAGUCCCAGUCUCUUACUACGUUUUUGAAAAGAGACCUAGCGCCCUACGGUAUCAGGCUCCGGUUGAAGCUGCCCUGUACCAGCCCCACGAAGCCACAUUAACAGCAUGCAGUACUUAACAGAACCGUGCCGAAGUCAUCAUCAGAAUACAACCCACAACAUGCUUCUGGGAGCCCUGCUCUUUGCUGAGGGCCUGAGGCAUUGCCCACCAGCACACGCACAGCCUCAGAUACCAUCCUCCCGC